This is a long non-coding RNA of Salvelinus fontinalis (brook trout), 5490 nucleotides long. RefSeq lists it as uncharacterized. The transcript is spliced from 3 exons. The record is from RefSeq and is a predicted model, not a curated record. NCBI's taxonomy places the organism in Eukaryota, Metazoa, Chordata, Actinopteri, Salmoniformes, Salmonidae.
GUGUACCUAUGAUGAAAAUUACAGGCCUCUCUCAUCUUUUUAAAGUGGGAGAACUUGCACAAUUGGUGGCUGACAAUACUUUUUUGCCCCACUUGUUAAUCACUACACUCGGUAACAGCCUAAGCAUUACGGAACUUCUAUUCAAUCAAAUAAACCUCAGCAAAUAAGCCAUUACAUUUUUGUUGUUGACCAAAUCCAACAGUCUCAUUGACGUGAGCGCAUAAGAGAGAACUCCAGGCAGAUUUUGGGCCUAGUUAUCCCUCUCGCUUUGCCUCUUCCUCUCUGGUCCGCAGCAUGGCCGGGUUCACGUUAGGGAACUGCUGCUGCUUCUUCCAAGGUUAACACACAUGCAUUAUAGGCCCACUUCUUGAUGAUUUAUAUAAACAACUCACAAAGUCAUGUAUUCAGUCUGUUCAAGUUAAUUAGCACAAAUUAGGAUGUUGUCACACCCUGGCCUUAGUUAUCUUUGUUUUCAUUAUUAUUUUAGUUAGGUCAGGGUGUGACAUGUUGAAGUAUGUGUUUUUUGUAUUGUCUAGGGUGUUGUUUACUUUAGGAGGUAGUCACCAUAACUACAGGGUAGAGGGGAAGGUCAUGUUGAUUUAACCGUGAUGUAUGGUAGAGGGGUAGAGGGGUAGGUCAUGUUGAUUUAACUGUGAUGUAUGGUAGAGAGGUAGGUCAUGUUGAUUUAACUGUGAUGUAUGGUAGAGGGGUAGAGGGGUAGGUCAUGUUGAUUUAACUGUGAUGUAUGGUAGAGGGGUAGGUCAUGUUGAUUUAACCUUGAUGUAUGGUAGAGGGGUAGAGGGGUAGGUCAUGUUGAUUUAACUGUGAUGUAUGGUAGAGGGGUAGAGGGGUAGGUCAUGUUGAUUUAACUGUGAUGUAUGGUAGAGGGGUAGAGGGGUAGGUCAUGUUGAUUUAACUGUGAUGUAUGGUAGAGGGGUAGAUGGGAAGGUCAUGUUGAUUUAACUGUGAUGUAUGGUAGAGGGGUAGGUCAUGUUGAUUUAACUGUGAUGUAUGGUAGAGGGGUAGAUGGGAAGGUCAUGUUGAUUUAACUGUGAUGUAUGGUAGAGGGGUAGGUCAUGUUGAUUUAACUGUGAUGUAUGGUAGAGGGGUAGGUCAUGUUGAUUUAACUGUGAUGUAUGGUAGAGGGGUAGAGGGGUAGGUCAUGUUGAUUUAACUGUGAUGUAUGGUAGAGAGGUAGAGGGGUAGGUCAUGUUGAUUUAACUGUGAUGUAUGGUAGAGGGGUAGGUCAUGUUGAUUUAACUGUGAUGUAUGGUAGAGGGGUAGAGGGGAAGGUCAUGUUGAUUUAACUGUGAUGUAUGGUAGAGGGGUAGGUCAUGUUGAUUUAACUGUGAUGUAUGGUAGAGGGGUAGAGGGGUAGGUCAUGUUGAUUUAACUGUGAUGUAUGGUAGAGGGGUAGAGGGGUAGGUCAUGUUGAUUUAACCGUGAUGUAUGGUAGAGAGGUAGAGGGGUAGGUCAUGUUGAUUUAACUGUGAUGUAUGGUAGAGAGGUAGGUCAUGUUGAUUUAACCGUGAUGUAUGGUAGAGGGGUAGAUCAUGUUGAUUUAACCGUGAUGUAUGGUAGAGGGGUAGGUCAUGUUGAUUUAACUGUGAUGUAUGGUAGAGGGGUAGGUCAUGUUGAUUUAACUGUGAUGUAUGGUAGAGGGGUAGGUCAUGUUGAUUUAACUGUGAUGUAUGGUAGAGGGGUAGGUCAUGUUGAUUUAACUGUGAUGUAUGGUAGAGGGGUAGGUCAUGUUGAUUUAACUGUGAUGUAUGGUAGAGGGGUAGAGAGGUAGGUCAUGUUGAUUUUCUUUUUCUCUGCAACGCCCAGGGCGACGAUAUACAACACACCUCGCCAUCCCUCGCCUCCUGUCCCAUGUCAAAACAGAUGGCUUUUGGGUUAGAGAGGGUUUUUAGAAAUGGGUUGAGGUAAAGCCACUUGUGCAGAUUUUUCCACAUUCUCUGGUGUAUGGACCAUUGGUCAAUAUUACUCCAUUUGAGGCCACAUCCCUUCAGAUCAGUGUUGGUAUUAUUUUUCCUCGUUUCCCAUAACCUCUUAUUUAAUAUACAGUACUACAAGGCUCUGGUUAUUCCAAUAGUACAUACCAUUGAACUAGAAUACUAAUUAGUCCUUUAAUAGGAUCUCAUUUGUUCAUAUAGUUCAAAUAUAUGUGUUAAGUCACUCCUAUGGUAUGUAUGUAUGUACAGUGCAUUUGUAAAGUAUUCAGACUUAAAAACUUUUUCACCUGUUUAUAUUAAGGUCCCACAGUUGACAGUGCAUGUCAGAGCAAAAACCAAGCCAUGAGGUUGAAGGAAUUGUCCGUAGAGCUCCGAGACAGGAUUUUGUCGAGGCACAGAUCUGGGGAAGGGUACCAAAAAAUGUCUGCAGCAUUGACGAUCCUCAAGUACACAGUGGCCUCCAUCAUUCUUAAAUGUAAGAAGUUUGGAACCACCAAGACUCUUCUUAGAGCUGGCCGCCCGGACAAACUGAGCAAUCGGGGAGAAUGGCCUUGGUCAGGGAGGUCACCAAGAACCUGAUGGUCACUCUGACAGAGCUCUAGAGCUCCUCUGUGGAGAUGGGAGAACCUUCCAGAAGGACAACCAUCUCUGCAGCACUCCACCAAUCAGGCUUUUAUGGUCGAGUGGCCAGACGGAAGCCACUCCUCAGUAAAAGGCACAUGACAGUCAACUUUUGCCAAAAGGCACCUGAAGGACUCAGACCAUGACAAACAAGAUUCUCUGGUCUGAUGAAACCAAUAUUGAACUCUUUGGCCAACCGUCACAUCUGGACGAAAUCUGGCACCAUCUCUACAGUGAAGCAUGGUGGUGCAGUGGCAGGGACUGGGAGACUAGUCAGGAUCGAGAUAAAGAUUAAUGGAGCAAAGUACAGAGAGAUGCUUGAUGAAAACCUGCUCCAGAGCGCUCAGGACAAUGACCCUAAGCACACAGCCAAGACAACACAUGAGUGGCUUCAGGACAAGUCUCUGAAUGUCCUUGACUGGCCCAGCCAGAGCCCGGACUUGAACCCGAUCAAACAUCUCUGGACAGACCUGAAAAUAGCUGUGCAGCGACACUCCACAUCCAACCUGACAGAGCUUGAGAGGAGCUGCAUAGAAAAUGGGAGAAUGGGAUACAGGUGUGCCAAGCUUGUAGCGUCAUACCCAAGAAGACUUGAGGCUGUAAACCCUGGCAAAGGUGCUUCAACAAAGUACUGAGUAAAGGGUCUGAAUAUUUAUUUAAAAGCGAUAUUUCAGUUGUUUUUUUUAUAAAUUUGCAAAUAUUUCUAAACCUGUGUUUGGUUUGUCAUUAUGGGGUAUUGUGUGUAGAUUGAUGAGGGAAACAAACAAUUGAAUCCAUUUUAGAAUAAGGCUGUAUUGUUAAAAAAUGGCUGAAUACUUUCCGAAUGUGCUGUAUACCUAGUUAUGUGAAAUCAAUUUUGUUAUAACCCCCAUUCCUAUAGUAUGGGUUGACUUCAUUUAAAAAAAAAUAUAUAUAUGUAUGUUUUUAAUUAAACCAUACAAAACAUCCACAUACAAACGACAGAAUACAGAUGCACACAAACAUCCACAACAUCACCCCUGUUCAGACCAUCACAACAUCACCCCUGUUCAGACCCAUCACAACAUCACCCCUGUUCAGACCCAUCACAACAUCACCCCUGUUCAGACCCAUCACAACAUCACCCCUGUUCAGACCCAUCACAACAUCACCCCUGUUCAGACCCAUCACAACAUCACCCCUGUUCAGACCCAUCACAACAUCACCCCUGUUCAGACCCAUCACAACAUCACCCCUGUUCAGACCAUCACAACAUCACCCCUGUUCAGACCAUCACAACAUCACCCCUGUUCAGACCCAUCACAACAUCACCCCUGUUCAGACCCAUCGCAACAUCACCCCUGUUCAGACCCAUCACAACAUCACCCCUGUUCAGACCCAUCACAACAUCACCCCUGUUCAGACCCAUCACAACAUCACCCCUGUUCAGACCAUCACAACAUCACCCCUGUUCAGACCCAUCACAACAUCACCCCUGUUCAGACCCGUCACAACAUCACCCCUGUUCAGACCCAUCACAACAUCACCCCUGUCAAAACCCAUCACAACAUCACCCCUGUUCUGUUUUUUAACGAUAAACUGGAAAUCGACCAAUCCUCUAAGUUUACAUUUGUUUUUUCAAGAUAAUUGACAAGAGAAAGUCCUACCCCGUUGGGUAUCGUGCUGUACCCUCAUAUGCCAUGUGUUGAAAUAGGCAGACCGAUGGAUUUAAAGUACAUUUAUAUUGUAAUACUUCCUACAGCAAACGUUCUAACUCACCCAUAACUUUAUGACAUCACAGAAGGUGUGGAUUAUUGAGUCAUUGUUAGUUUAAACGUAAGACGUGACUCUGCCGUUGUGCUGUAGAAUUUGUGAAAUUUGUCCCUUGUGUAAUAAUACAUUCUUUACGUUAGUUUAUUCUGGAUUAAGUGUACAUUUUUACUUAACUGUAAUUUAGAUAGUUCUGCUCCAACUUUCCGAUAAUCUUGUGUCAACGUCAGUUUCUUUUGGAAGUCUUGGUUGCAGUAGUUCAUCUUUUUUUUUUCUAAGAGAUUGUCAGUUGGAUAGGCUCUCUGCAAGGUUUUGUAUAUCUUCCCUAUUGUAUGAACAUCCUGUUCCGACUCGAAUACGAUUCCCUCAAGGUUGCUCUGUCUAAAAUAUUUCUAAUCAAAAUGUCUUUAUGUAACUUUUUUUACAUUGCAAGUGUUUUUGAAAAUAUCUACGUUGGUCAAUCCAAAAUUGGUUUGAAUCAUUUCCUGGAAAUAAAUGUAUGACCUGUUACCAAGUCAUUUACGGGUUUCUAUGCCUUUUAGUUUUCCUUGUAGACACUUUAUCAGUGAAUUCUGAAAAGUUAUGGUUAUAUUAUAAGUUAUGUGUUUUUUUAGGAACUGGUUCUUGUAGAAUAGGGAAACAACAUCUAGUUCCAUAUGGUUAUCGUGUUCUUAACUAUGAAGUUGUUCAUGAUCUUAGUUUUAUCCGUAGACAAAAGACACGUAAAAAGAUUCUGGGGACGAGCAUGUUCAUCUCCAAUAUGUCACGAUCGUGUGGAGGAUUGACGGACCAAAACGCAGCUUUAGGAAAAUAAGCCAUCUCCUUUUUAUUUACGAAGAAGGCAAACGAGACAAAAACACUUAAACACUAAACAAAACAAGAAAACGAUCGUGAAGCUAAACAACGAUGUGCACACACUGGCUACAAACGUAUCACAUAGACAACUACUCACAACAAAUGAAAGCCUAUGGCUACCCUAAAUAAGGCUCCCAAUCAGAGACAACCGAAAUCAGCUGUCUCUAAUUGGGAACUCAUUCAGGUAACCAUAGACUCUCCUAGACAACUAAACAUACAUAGACAACGCUAGACACAUGUACUCAACACAAACCCAUAUACUACACCCAACAACCCCUUUACCAUAGAAACACCCAAAACCAACAAAACACAAACAUUCCCCAUGUCACAC